UGGGGAAUAUUGCACAAUGGGCGCAAGCCUGAUGCAGCCAUGCCGCGUGUGUGAAGAAGGCCUUCGGGUUGUAAAGCACUUUCAGCGAGGAGGAAGGUGGUGAACUUAAUACGUUCAUCAAUUGACGUUACUCGCAGAAGAAGCACCGGCUAACUCCGUGCCAGCAGCCGCGGUAAUACGGAGGGUGCAAGCGUUAAUCGGAAUUACUGGGCGUAAAGCGCACGCAGGCGGUUUGUUAAGUCAGAUGUGAAAUCCCCGGGCUCAACCUGGGAACUGCAUUUGAAACUGGCAAGCUAGAGUCUCGUAGAGGGGGGUAGAAUUCCAGGUGUAGCGGUGAAAUGCGUAGAGAUCUGGAGGAAUACCGGUGGCGAAGGCGGCCCCCUGGACGAAGACUGACGCUCAGGUGCGAAAGCGUGGGGCAGCAAACAGGAUUAGAUACCCUGGUAGUCCAGCGCUGUAAACGAUGUCGAUUUGGAGGUUGUGCCCUUGAGGCGUGGCUUCCGGAGCUAACGCGUUAAAUCGACCGCCUGGGGAGUACGGCCGCAAGGUUAAAACUCAAAUGAAUUGAC
This 569-nucleotide ribosomal RNA is filed under the name uncultured bacterium. RNAcentral describes it as "partial 16S ribosomal RNA". It matches the Rfam family "Bacterial small subunit ribosomal RNA", at positions 355 to 914 of the family's 1533-position model. The record is from RNAcentral.